Long non-coding RNA from Vitis vinifera (wine grape), 813 nucleotides. RefSeq lists it as uncharacterized. The record is from RefSeq and is a predicted model, not a curated record. NCBI's taxonomy places the organism in Eukaryota, Viridiplantae, Streptophyta, Magnoliopsida, Vitales, Vitaceae. The transcript is spliced from 2 exons.
UGAGAUAAGAAGUGGGAAGUGCUGUCCCACAUGGACUAGAUAUGAAAGCUGGCUGUACAAGGACAUAGCAUAAAAGGGAGUUGAGGACACGACUCAAAGCAUACCUUUCUCGGCCUUUUGGCUAAGAUCAAGUGUAGUAUCUGUUCUUAUCAGUUUAAUAUCUGAUACGUGGGACAUCGUCCCACAUGAUAUUAAAUUUAUAUUUUUAGGGGAAGGGCCCAUCACAAUAGCUUGCUAUUGGGGUCCUUGAGCGUCGCCCUUGCGUUGCACUACUGCUUGGGCCUGGCGCACCCCUCCAAUAAAAGUCUACAAAUGCCUUCACAGUUUCAUUAUCUAAUUUGAUUGAGUGUAGAACAUAAAUACGCAACUUUUGGCACUAAACCCAUAACUCUCAUGGCAAUGGAACCACACUCAAUACUGUCACAAUGCAGCCGACCCAUUGUGUGACUGCUGGAAGCUUGCUCACCUAAGUGUCUCUUGGAUAGUUAAAAGAUUAGGAAGAAGAAUGUGACUAGAAAAUGGUCCUUGAAACUGAGGUGUGUGGAGGAUAAGAGUGGAGCUUGGCUUUUGUCAACAAGAUCUAUCUCCCAAAUGUGGCUAAGAUUUGAGUUCAACCAUGUACUUUAGCUUCUGUGGGCGGUAUCUUCUAUUGUAAGACGAAUGCAAUGAGGAAUUCAAUUUUUUUUUUUUUUUUUUAAAGCAUUACACUUUUGGAGGUUCUUGAGUUUUUGGUGUCUAAAUGGUACUCAGAGCUUGAUGUUUGAUAACAUAGUGUGCCAUGUCAAUGAUUUAAUAUAGUUUGUACAAACUCUG